GGGGCAGCCGGGGCGGAAGGGGCUUGUUCAUUAUUUUGAGAGUUUGUUGUGAACGUCAUAACCUUUCGUCCUUAAAUAUUGCCGAUACUUGACCUACGCAAGAGACAAUGUCAUGUGAUUCAGCCUAAUAUCUCAAUGUAAUAAGGACUUAUGAACAGAAGACAUGUCUGUGUGCCAGGCAGCUGUGAGACAAAAUCGUGGAUCUCCGCACUGUAAACCCCCAGACCCAGGACUUACAUAACCUAGGGAAAUGUUGUUUCAGAAGGGAUGUGUAGGACAGUUGAAGUACAAGAACAUCAAGGUCAUUUCACCCAAGGGCAGAAUUUAUGGAGGAUGCAGCAUUCAAGGUUCUAUCUUGGAAGCAGAGACUGUGCCCUCACCAGAUGCUGAACCUGCUGAGCACCCUGAUCUUCCACUUCACCUUCAUCAGAACUACUGGGGCUGUGGCUGAGAUGUCACAUGGCAGAUAGGAUCACAAAUUUCUGUUGUAUCUGGAUGGAGAUCAGCAGGAGGAUCUAUGGACUGCUGUGAUUGCACCUGCCAUCUUAUGCAGAAAUGACCUGAAGACAGACUGAAACAACGUGUUCUACAGCCUGAAAAUAUCUACCUUGACUUACAGUUUUAUUAAUGCUGGUGUGAUCAGACUGGACAAAAAUUAGCAUAUGUUAUUAACUGAUCUAAUUCAAGUGCCAAUUCUUAAUAGAAACACAAAACAAUAAAAGCAAUUCAGAAAA
This is a long non-coding RNA of Homo sapiens (human), 734 nucleotides long. Ensembl annotates it as long intergenic non-protein coding RNA 882. Lineage: Eukaryota; Metazoa; Chordata; Mammalia; Primates; Hominidae. The record is from Ensembl.